This 484-nucleotide ribosomal RNA is filed under the name uncultured bacterium. Its description in RNAcentral is "partial 16S ribosomal RNA". It matches the Rfam family "Bacterial small subunit ribosomal RNA", at positions 28 to 507 of the family's 1533-position model. The record is from RNAcentral.
AUUGAACGCCGGCGGCAUGCUUUACACAUGCAAGUCGAACGGCAGCGCGGGCUUCGGCCUGGCGGCGAGUGGCGAACGGGUGAGUAAUGCAUCGGAACGUGCCCAGUAGUGGGGGAUAGCCCGGCGAAAGCCGGAUUAAUACCGCAUACGACCUGAGGGUGAAAGCGGGGGACCGAAAGGCCUCGCGCUAUUGGAGCGGCCGAUGUCGGAUUAGCUAGUUGGUGGGGUAAAGGCUUACCAAGGCGACGAUCCGUAGCUGGUCUGAGAGGACGACCAGCCACACUGGGACUGAGACACGGCCCAGACUCCUACGGGAGGCAGCAGUGGGGAAUUUUGGACAAUGGGGGCAACCCUGAUCCAGCCAUGCCGCGUGCGGGAAGAAGGCCUUCGGGUUGUAAACCGCUUUUGCUCGGGAAGAAAUCCUCUGGGCUAAUACCCCGGGGGGAUGACGGUACCGGAAGAAUAAGCACCGGCUAACUACGUG